Molecule: microRNA precursor, 62 nt
Organism: Gallus gallus (chicken)
Lineage: Eukaryota; Metazoa; Chordata; Aves; Galliformes; Phasianidae
Source: Ensembl
ACAGCGCGGAUCGGGGCUGGGAGCUGCAGGAGCGCCGCUUACCGCCCCGUUCUGCGCUCGGA